This 231-nucleotide ribosomal RNA is filed under the name uncultured bacterium. RNAcentral's name for it is "partial 16S ribosomal RNA". It matches the Rfam family "Bacterial small subunit ribosomal RNA", at positions 103 to 334 of the family's 1533-position model. The record is from RNAcentral.
CGGGUGAGUAACGCGUGGAUAACCUGCCUCACACUGGGGGAUAACAGUUAGAAAUGACUGCUAAUACCGCAUGAGCGCACAGUACCACAUGGUACGGUGUGAAAAACUCCGGUGGUGUGAGAUGGAUCCGCGUCUGAUUAGCCAGUUGGCGGGGUAACGGCCCACCAAAGCGACGAUCAGUAGCCGACCUGAGAGGGUGACCGGCCACAUUGGGACUGAGACACGGCCCAA